Molecule: non-coding RNA, 92 nt
Organism: Acanthosepion pharaonis
Lineage: Eukaryota; Metazoa; Mollusca; Cephalopoda; Sepiida; Sepiidae
Source: the annotation of a GenBank genome assembly
CAUUGAAGCACCAGUUUCCGUACGAUCACUAGGGUUAAGCAACGUCGAGCCUGGUAAGUACCUAAAUGCGUGACCGCUUGGGAAUACCAGGU